This is a long non-coding RNA of Oreochromis aureus, 2775 nucleotides long. RefSeq lists it as uncharacterized. The transcript is spliced from 2 exons. Lineage: Eukaryota; Metazoa; Chordata; Actinopteri; Cichliformes; Cichlidae. The record is from RefSeq and is a predicted model, not a curated record.
CAUACCUGGAUUAAAAAAAUACACACUGGAACACAAUCAGUCAUGGAUUGGCCUCCCCAGAGUCCAGACCGCAGCAUUAUUGAAGCAGUGUGGAAUCAUCUUCACAGAAAACAGAACAAAAGGAGGCCAGCAUGCAAAGAAAAUCAUUGACUGUCCUUCAAGAAGCCCGGAAAACUAUUCCUGAAGACUAUUUAAAGAAAGUACAAGGAAGCUUCCCAGGGAGAGUGUUGAAGAAUAAAGCACAGACUUUUCAGAGAGAGUUUCACUUGUAGAAAUGUCAACGAUCACAUGAAGCACUACCAGAGGAAGAAGCAUAUUGUGUGCCUUUCUACUAUGUUCAAGUUCUGUUUGUGUGUCUGGUCCUUUUUUUUUCAAACAAAAAUGAGAUGGACAAAGUUUCCCACAAAACCCUGCUGCCUGGUUCCUGGCUCGCCGUGCCUGCUGAAGAGCUCCCUCUCUAAAGCACUCAGUUUCAGGCUCAGACCCAAACGGGUGCCCUGAAUUUCAGCUCCGUCGCCCUCUCUGCCAGGAACAACGGACGACGAAUCCUGGAAAGUUUUACCUCCUUAGUGUUGACACCUCACUUUUCCAGUCCAAAUGGGACAAUGACAGCUUGUGUAGGGCAGUUCACACAGAGACACACCACGGGUCAGCUUUGCUGGUUGGAGGACAGGAUGGUGGAUCAUAGAAAUGUGAUGACAAAGCUGAAAAAUUAUUUAGGAGGCAGACAAGAGAUUGAAGAUGCUGACGUUUAUUCAGGAAGACGUCAUAAGAAAAGCAUGUGUUACUUGGAUGGGGGUAAACGACAAAUCCGCUGCAGGUAUUAAUGCAGUAGAAAAUGUUAUGAAAAUAUUGUGAGGCCAAGUUUUAGAAGCACACAGAUAAUUUUUCAUUUAAAGUACAAAAUAAACAUUUGUUAUGAAAAUAAAAGAGUUAAGAAAUGAGCACAUGUGCUACAAGAGUACAGAAGUUUAGUCUUUAUCUACUCUUCCCUGAAAGCAGACGGUGCCUGAGGCCUUCAGAGAAGCAAAACAGAAGACACAAGGUCAGGUUAUCUAGCUCCAACUCCACCUACCCUGACCCUUAAAGAUCCGAGCAAAAACUGAGAGAGCUCAGCGAACAAAAACGACCCACUCUGAAAAAAUCCCUCACUUUAAGAACUCUGGACGUUCCCUUGCAUGCAUCUGUCAGCACUUUGUGUUUGAAAACACAAUAAAAGGCUUGAAAAGGGAAGAAAGGAGCAAAGUCUGACUGAAUAUUAUGUUCUUAUUUUUGAAGGCUUCUUUGUUUUUCUUCUUUCUUGGCCACCCAACAUUUGUGGUUCAAAUUUGUGACAACCUUAAACAGCACUGUGGAAGAAAAUGUAAAGUCUGCGAGUGUGGAAGUAGAGGCCACAGUUUUAAUCAGUAAAGACCAAAGUAUUUGUUGGGCACGCAUUUCCACCCCAUCGGCCCUGACAAUAAAAAUCAGGAUGCGAGACUCAGCCGCAUGCGAGUCUCGCUGCAUGCCUGUGUGCGAGAAACCACAACGACAGCAGAACUUGUGUUUCCUAUGAAACGUGUGUAUAAAAAUGUGAAAGUUCAUGUCGUUUCUGAAGAAAAGGGGAUAGGCAACAAAGAUAAUUAUAUAUGCAUGUUUGUCUACAUAUUACAUGAGUCUUGGAUGCACUUUUUUAGGAAAAAGCAGUACGAAGAGAAGAGGGUAGAGGGGUAAGGAACAAAGGUGGGUUUUGAAAAAGGAGUUAAAGUCAGCGACUGAGACAUUUGCUCAAGAUUUUCCUCUCUUCCCUUCCAGAAGCUAAAGAAACUAUCCUGUGUGAGUUCCAUCUUUUUUUACGACUCGUAGAUGAGGGAAAUACUUUUUGGCAUACUCAAACUUUUACAGAGCAAAAGUAGGCCACAUUUAGAGUCAUCCUCUCAUAAAUUUGGAGACUUCUGUUUUUAAAGGCUGGCAAUGUCAACGUCACAAAUGAGACCAAUCCUGUUUGUGUGCUUAUACUUUUUGCUCUGAUGAAUCCAAAUCAUCCUUGCUUUAGUACAUAAUCUGUUACAAAAACCCUGUAAGUCUGCUGUUGAAGUUAUAGUCCAUGCAACAGUACAUUAGAGUCAUGCCACAGCAGUGGGUAAUAACCCCCUGAUGCACUUUCAGAGUUCAAAUCAAAUGACAAAUGACAUUUUCAUUUUUACUGGUCUGUUGAGUAACUCUUUCAGUUGGCAAAUUCUGAUCUGAAAAAUAGCUAAUUCAGAAAAAACCAAAACUUUUCCUGAUUCUAGUCUCAGCGGCAAGUCUGGUCAAUGUGUGCUUGAAAUCAUAAUGUCCACUGAAAACUGCAUAUGAGACAGCUGCCAGGAAAAGGAUGACAUAUCUCGAAUGUGACAUUCCCACCGGCAAAGUGGUCAGUCCUACUCAAUGAGACAAGGAGGGGAGACAUUUUUAUAUGAUAAAGCAGCUGGAAGCCAUUUGUACAGAAACUACAUCAGCUUUUUUUUUGGAAUGUACUUUAAACUUUGUAGAUAAAUGCUUAUAAUUCAAAAUUGUAAAUGUUUCACAGCCUUGUCUGCAAUCUCUUAUGCAUUAAUUGACUUCAAGCACUUAAUUAUCAAGCAUCUCUAAAUAUAUAUACAGUGUAUAUUUUCUGUAUAUUUCAUUUGUGAAAUAGGAAAUGAGUGCAAUUUUAUUGUAUAUAAAGCAAGAACAGAGUUGGUACAUUUCAAUUCUAUUAAAAGUUCAUAUUUGGUGUGAUCACCUUUAGUCUUUAAAGUGGUCUGAACUCUC